AACGAACGCUGGCGGCAUGCCUAACACAUGCAAGUCGAACGGGAUCCUAGCUUGCUAGGUGAGAGUGGCGGACGGGUGAGUAACACGUGGGAAUCUGCCUUUUGGUUCGGGAUAACCGCGGGAAACUGCGGCUAAUACCGAAUGCCCUCGUGAGAGGAAAGAUUUAUCGCCAGAAGAGGAGCCCGCGUCCGAUUAGGUAGUUGGUGGGGUAAAGGCCUACCAAGCCGACGAUCGGUAGCUGGUCUGAGAGGAUGAUCAGCCACACUGGGACUGAGAUACGGCCCAGACUCCUACGGGAGGCAGCAGUGGGGAAUAUUGGACAAUGGGGGCAACCCUGAUCCAGCAAUGCCGCGUGAGUGAUGAAGGCCUUAGGGUUGUAAAGCUCUUUGCCAGGGAAGAUGAUGACUGUACCUGGAGAAUAAGCCCCGGCUAACUUCGUGCCAGCAGCCGCGGUAAU
Molecule: ribosomal RNA, 457 nt
Filed under: uncultured bacterium
Lineage: Bacteria
Description: bacterial SSU rRNA
Rfam family: Bacterial small subunit ribosomal RNA
Source: RNAcentral